This 2886-nucleotide ribosomal RNA is filed under the name Vibrio parahaemolyticus VP2007-095. Its description in RNAcentral is "bacterial LSU rRNA". It matches the Rfam family "Bacterial large subunit ribosomal RNA". The record is from RNAcentral. Lineage: Bacteria; Pseudomonadati; Pseudomonadota; Gammaproteobacteria; Vibrionales; Vibrionaceae.
UAAGUGACUAAGCGUACACGGUGGAUGCCUUGGCAGUCAGAGGCGAUGAAAGACGUAGUAACUUGCGAUAAGCCCAGAUUAGGUAGUAACAACCAUUUGAGUCUGGGAUUUCUGAAUGGGGAAACCCACGUGCAUAAGCACGUAUCCUUACCUGAAUACAUAGGGUAAGGAGGCGAACCGGGGGAACUGAAACAUCUAAGUACCCCGAGGAAAAGAAAUCAACCGAGAUUCCGAAAGUAGCGGCGAGCGAAAUUGGACUAGCCCUUAAGCUUUACACGCGUUAGACGAACGGUCUGGAAAGUCCGACGAUACAGGGUGAUAGUCCCGUAGUUGACGACGUGUGUUCAGUGAAAUCGAGUAGGGCGGGACACGUGAUAUCCUGUCUGAAUAUGGGGGGACCAUCCUCCAAGGCUAAAUACUACUGACUGACCGAUAGUGAACCAGUACCGUGAGGGAAAGGCGAAAAGAACCCCUGUGAGGGGAGUGAAAUAGAACCUGAAACCGUGUACGUACAAGCAGUAGGAGCAGGCUUGUCCUGUGACUGCGUACCUUUUGUAUAAUGGGUCAGCGACUUAUAUUCAGUGGCAAGGUUAACCAUCUAGGGGAGCCGUAGGGAAACCGAGUCUUAACUGGGCGUUCAGUCUCUGGAUAUAGACCCGAAACCAGGUGAUCUAGCCAUGGGCAGGUUGAAGGUUGAGUAACAUCAACUGGAGGACCGAACCGACUAAUGUUGAAAAAUUAGCGGAUGACUUGUGGCUAGGGGUGAAAGGCCAAUCAAACCUGGAGAUAGCUGGUUCUCCCCGAAAGCUAUUUAGGUAGCGCCUCGGACGAAUACUACUGGGGGUAGAGCACUGUUAAGGCUAGGGGGUCAUCCCGACUUACCAACCCUUUGCAAACUCCGAAUACCAGUAAGUACUAUCCGGGAGACACACGGCGGGUGCUAACGUCCGUCGUGGAGAGGGAAACAACCCAGACCGCCAGCUAAGGUCCCAAAUUACUACUAAGUGGGAAACGAUGUGGGAAGGCUCAGACAGCCAGGAUGUUGGCUUAGAAGCAGCCAUCAUUUAAAGAAAGCGUAAUAGCUCACUGGUCGAGUCGGCCUGCGCGGAAGAUGUAACGGGGCUAAGUAGUAAACCGAAGCUGCGGCAAUGUGCUUUUGCACAUUGGGUAGGGGAGCGUUCUGUAAGCGGUUGAAGGUGUGUGGUAACGCAUGCUGGACGUAUCAGAAGUGCGAAUGCUGACAUGAGUAACGAUAAAGGGGGUGAAAAACCUCCUCGCCGGAAGACCAAGGGUUCCUGUCCAACGUUAAUCGGGGCAGGGUAAGUCGACCCCUAAGGCGAGGCCGAAAGGCGUAGUCGAUGGGAAACGGGUUAAUAUUCCCGUACUUCUUACAAUUGCGAUGGGGGGACGGAGAAGGCUAGGUGGGCCUGGCGACGGUUGUCCAGGUUCAAGUGCGUAGGCUUAAGAGUUAGGUAAAUCCGGCUCUUUCUAAGGCUGAGACACGACGUCGAGCACCUACGGGUGUGAAGUCAUUGAUGCCAUGCUUCCAGGAAAAGCCUCUAAGCUUCAGAUUGUAAGGAAUCGUACCCCAAACCGACACAGGUGGUCGGGUAGAGAAUACCAAGGCGCUUGAGAGAACUCGGGUGAAGGAACUAGGCAAAAUGGUACCGUAACUUCGGGAGAAGGUACGCUCUUGAUGGUGAAGUCCCUCGCGGAUGGAGCUGACGAGAGUCGCAGAUACCAGGUGGCUGCAACUGUUUAUUAAAAACACAGCACUGUGCAAAAUCGUAAGAUGACGUAUACGGUGUGACGCCUGCCCGGUGCCGGAAGGUUAAUUGAUGGGGUUAGACUUCGGUCGAAGCUCUUGAUCGAAGCCCCGGUAAACGGCGGCCGUAACUAUAACGGUCCUAAGGUAGCGAAAUUCCUUGUCGGGUAAGUUCCGACCUGCACGAAUGGCGUAAUGAUGGCCACGCUGUCUCCACCCGAGACUCAGUGAAAUUGAAAUCGCUGUGAAGAUGCAGUGUACCCGCGGCUAGACGGAAAGACCCCGUGAACCUUUACUACAGCUUGGCACUGAACAUUGACCCUACAUGUGUAGGAUAGGUGGGAGGCUUUGAAGCACGUACGCCAGUAUGUGUGGAGCCGUCCUUGAAAUACCACCCUUGUAGUGUUGAUGUUCUAACGUCGACCCCUUAUCGGGGUUGCGGACAGUGCCUGGUGGGUAGUUUGACUGGGGCGGUCUCCUCCCAAAGAGUAACGGAGGAGCACGAAGGUGGGCUAAUCACGGUUGGACAUCGUGAGGUUAGUGCAAUGGCAUAAGCCCGCUUGACUGCGAGAAUGACAAUUCGAGCAGGUGCGAAAGCAGGUCAUAGUGAUCCGGUGGUUCUGAAUGGAAGGGCCAUCGCUCAACGGAUAAAAGGUACUCCGGGGAUAACAGGCUGAUACCGCCCAAGAGUUCAUAUCGACGGCGGUGUUUGGCACCUCGAUGUCGGCUCAUCACAUCCUGGGGCUGAAGUCGGUCCCAAGGGUAUGGCUGUUCGCCAUUUAAAGUGGUACGCGAGCUGGGUUUAGAACGUCGUGAGACAGUUCGGUCCCUAUCUGCCGUGGGCGUUGGAAGAUUGAAGGGGGCUGCUCCUAGUACGAGAGGACCGGAGUGGACGAACCUCUGGUGUUCGGGUUGUGUCGCCAGACGCAUUGCCCGGUAGCUAAGUUCGGAAUCGAUAACCGCUGAAAGCAUCUAAGCGGGAAGCGAGCCCUGAGAUGAGUCUUCCCUGAUACUUUAAGUAUCCUAAAGGGUUGUCGGAGACUACGACGUUGAUAGGUCAGGUGUGUAAGUGCUGUGAGGCAUUGAGCUAACUGAUACUAAUUGCCCGUGAGGCUUAACCA